This 521-nucleotide long non-coding RNA is filed under the name Populus davidiana x Populus alba var. pyramidalis. Its description in RNAcentral is "partial RNA2". Lineage: Eukaryota; Viridiplantae; Streptophyta; Magnoliopsida; Malpighiales; Salicaceae. The record is from RNAcentral.
ACAUCCAUUUCAAACAAAAACAAAGAGCUGUCGGAAGAAAGAAAUUAGAAGAUGCACAAUCCCCCACCGCCAGAGCCCCGUCACCAGCCCGGCCACCCACCGCCAGAGCCCCGUCACCAGCCACCCGGUCCACCACACCGUGAACCUCCUCCCCCUCGUGGCCAUUCUCCUCCUCCUCCAGGCCCGCAUGCACCACCAUCCGGUCCACCACACCGUGAACCUCCUCCUCCAGGUCCGCGUGCACCACCACCUGAUCAUCACCGUCCUUAGUCGAUCAUAUAUAUGAAGAACUCGAAGCUAAGCCUAGCAAUAUAUGAAUAAGCAUAUCCAUAGGGGAUGAUGAUGAUGUAACGGAAGGAUGCUCUCUGUGUAGCUAGUUUUACCUGUGGCUUAGCUGACCAGUAAUUUUAUUUUCAUUUCCAGUGUGUGUACGUGUAACGUUCUUGCUGUUUCGUUCUCGAAGAAACAUGUAUGGUGCUUGGAUAAUUAAUUAAUAAUAAGAGUAGAGUACUGUUUAUAUU